AGUGAACGCUGGCGGUAGGCCUAACACAUGCCAGUCGAACGGCAGCACAGUAAGAGCUUGCUCUUACGGGUGGCGAGUGGCGGACGGGUGAGGAAUACAUCGGAAUCUACUUUUUCGUGGGGGAUAACGUAGGGAAACUUACGCUAAUACCGCAUACGACCUACGGGUGAAAGCAGGGGAUCUUCGGACCUUGCGCGAUUGAAUGAGCCGAUGUCGGAUUAGCUAGUUGGCGGGGUAAAGGCCCACCAAGGCGACGAUCCGUAGCUGGUCUGAGAGGAUGAUCAGCCACACUGGAACUGAGGCACGGUCCAGACUCCUACGGGAGGCAGCAGUGGGGAAUAUUGGACAAUGGGCGCAAGCCUGAUCCAGCCAUACCGCGUGGGUGAAGAAGGCCUUCGGGUUGUAAAGCCCUUUUGUUGGGAAAGAAAAGCAGCAGGUUAAUACCCCGCUGUUCGGACGGUACCCAAAGAAUAAGCACCGGCUAACUUCGU
This 491-nucleotide ribosomal RNA is filed under the name uncultured bacterium. RNAcentral describes it as "partial 16S ribosomal RNA". It matches the Rfam family "Bacterial small subunit ribosomal RNA", at positions 29 to 506 of the family's 1533-position model. The record is from RNAcentral.